CGGAAUCUACCUUUUCGUGGGGGAUAACGUAGGGAAACUUACGCUAAUACCGCAUACGACCUUCGGGUGAAAGCAGGGGACCUUCGGGCCUUGCGCGGAUAGAUGAGCCGAUGUCGGAUUAGCUAGUUGGCGGGGUAAAGGCCCACCAAGGCGACGAUCCGUAGCUGGUCUGAGAGGAUGAUCAGCCACACUGGAACUGAGACACGGUCCAGACUCCUACGGGAGGCAGCAGUGGGGAAUAUUGGACAAUGGGCGCAAGCCUGAUCCAGCCAUACCGCGUGGGUGAAGAAGGCCUUCGGGUUGUAAAGCCCUUUUGUUGGGAAAGAAAAGCAGUCGGCUAAUACCCGGUUGUUCUGACGGUACCCAAAGAAUGAGCACCGGCUAACUUCGUGCCAGCAGCCGCGGUAAUACGAAGGGUGCAAGCGUUACUCGGAAUUACUGGGCGUAAAGCGUGCGUAGGUGGUUGUUUAAGUCUGUUGUGAAAGCCCUGGGCUCAACCUGGGAAUUGCAGUGGAUACUGGGCGACUAGAGUGUGGUAGAGGGUAGUGGAAUUCCCGGU
RNAcentral lists this ribosomal RNA (559 nucleotides) under uncultured bacterium. Its description in RNAcentral is "bacterial SSU rRNA". It matches the Rfam family "Bacterial small subunit ribosomal RNA", at positions 119 to 674 of the family's 1533-position model. The record is from RNAcentral.